This 447-nucleotide ribosomal RNA is filed under the name uncultured bacterium. RNAcentral's name for it is "bacterial SSU rRNA". It matches the Rfam family "Bacterial small subunit ribosomal RNA", at positions 355 to 825 of the family's 1533-position model. The record is from RNAcentral.
UCGGGAAUUUUGGGCAAUGGGCGAAAGCCUGACCCAGCAACGCCGCGUGAAGGAUGAAGUAUUUCGGUAUGUAAACUUCGAAAGAAUAGGAAGAAUAAAUGACGGUACUAUUUAUAAGGUCCGGCUAACUACGUGCCAGCAGCCGCGGUAAUACGUAGGGACCAAGCGUUGUUCGGAUUUACUGGGCGUAAAGGGCGCGUAGGCGGCAAUUCAAGCCAUCUGUGAAAUCUCCGGGCUUAACUCGGAACGGUCAGAUGAUACUGCUUUGCUAGAGUGCAGAAGGGGCAAUCGGAAUUCUUGGUGUAGCGGUGAAAUGCGUAGAUAUCAAGAGGAACACCUGAGGUGAAGACGGGUUGCUGGGCUGACACUGACGCUGAGGCGCGAAAGCCAGGGGAGCAAACGGGAUUAGAUACCCCAGUAGUCCCUGAGCGGGCUGGCAAGGCGCAU